GAUCAUUAUUGAUUUUAUCUAUUUCUGUGGAUUUCUAUGUAUAUUACAGCGUCAUUUUAUCUCAAUUAUAACUAUCAACAACGGAUCUCUUGGCUCUCACAUCGAUGAAGAACGCAGCGAACCGCGAUAUUUUUUGUGACUUGCAGAUGUGAAUCAUCAAUCUUUGAACGCACAUUGCGCGGUAUGGCAUUCCGUACCGCACGGAUGGAGGAGCGUGUUCCCUCUGGGAUCGCAUUGCUUUCUUGAAAUGGAUUUUUUAAACUCUCAAUUAUUACGUCAU
RNAcentral lists this unclassified non-coding RNA (280 nucleotides) under Yarrowia lipolytica. Its description in RNAcentral is "sequence contains 18S rRNA gene, ITS1, 5.8S rRNA gene, ITS2, 28S rRNA gene". The stretch from base 70 to 218 matches the Rfam family "5.8S ribosomal RNA". From Rfam's summary of the family: 5.8S ribosomal RNA (5.8S rRNA) is a component of the large subunit of the eukaryotic ribosome. It is transcribed by RNA polymerase I as part of the 45S precursor that also contains 18S and 28S rRNA. Lineage: Eukaryota; Fungi; Ascomycota; Dipodascomycetes; Dipodascales. The record is from RNAcentral.